RNAcentral lists this ribosomal RNA (464 nucleotides) under uncultured bacterium. Its description in RNAcentral is "partial 16S ribosomal RNA". It matches the Rfam family "Bacterial small subunit ribosomal RNA", at positions 28 to 506 of the family's 1533-position model. The record is from RNAcentral.
GACGAACGCUGGCGGCGUGCUUAACACAUGCAAGUCGUACGGUAAGGCCCUUUCGGGGGUACACGAGUGGCGAACGGGUGAGUAACACGUGAGUAACCUGCCCACAACUUUGGGAUAACGCUAGGAAACUGGUGCUAAUACUGGAUAUGUGCUCCUGCUGCAUGGUGGGGGUUGGAAAGCUCCGGCGGUUGCGGAUGGACUCGCGGCCUAUCAGCUUGUUGGUGGGGUAGUGGCCUACCAAGGCGGCGACGGGUAGCCGGCCUGAGAGGGUGACCGGCCACAUUGGGACUGAGAUACGGCCCAGACUCCUACGGGAGGCAGCAGUGGGGAAUAUUGCACAAUGGGCGCAAGCCUGAUGCAGCAACGCCGCGUGCGGGAUGACGGCCUUCGGGUUGUAAACCGCUUUCAGCAGGGACGAAGCUUUUUGUGACGGUACCUGCAGAAGAAGCACCGGCUAACUACGU